GACGAACGCUGGCGGCGUGCCUAAUACAUGCAAGUUGAGCGAUGAAGAUUGGUGCUUGCACCAAUUUGAAGAGCAGCGAACGGGUGAGUAACGCGUGGGGAAUCUGCCUUUGAGCGGGGGACAACAUUUGGAAACGAAUGCUAAUACCGCAUAACAACUUUAAACAUAAGUUUUAAGUUUGAAAGAUGCAAUUGCAUCACUCAAAGAUGAUCCCGCGUUGUAUUAGCUAGUUGGUGAGGUAAAGGCUCACCAAGGCGAUGAUACAUAGCCGACCUGAGAGGGUGAUCGGCCACAUUGGGACUGAGACACGGCCCAAACUCCUACGGGAGGCAGCAGUAGGGAAUCUUCGGCAAUGGACGAAAGUCUGACCGAGCAACGCCGCGUGAGUGAAGAAGGUUGUCGGAUCGUAAAACUCUGUUGGUAGAGAAGAACGUUGGUGAGAGUGGAAAGCUCAUCAAGUGACGGUAACUACCCAGAAAGGGACGGCCAACUACGUG
RNAcentral lists this ribosomal RNA (497 nucleotides) under uncultured bacterium. RNAcentral's name for it is "partial 16S ribosomal RNA". It matches the Rfam family "Bacterial small subunit ribosomal RNA", at positions 28 to 507 of the family's 1533-position model. The record is from RNAcentral.